Molecule: small nuclear RNA, 361 nt
Filed under: Dasypus novemcinctus (nine-banded armadillo)
Lineage: Eukaryota; Metazoa; Chordata; Mammalia; Cingulata; Dasypodidae
Description: 7SK RNA (ENSDNOG00000027196.1)
Rfam family: 7SK RNA (bases 1-300)
About the family: 7SK was discovered as an abundant small nuclear RNA in the mid-70s but a possible function has only recently been suggested. Two independent studies have found that 7SK RNA binds the CDK9/cyclin T complex (known as elongation factor P-TEFb).
Source: RNAcentral
GGAUUUGAGGGUGAUCGGGCUGUGACAUGACAUCCCAUUGAUUGCCAGGGUUGAUUCGUCUAGUCUGGCUGCCUCCGUGGAUGUACACUUCCUCCCUCACCGCUCCACGUGCGUCUCUCCCAAAGCUGUGUGCUUGGUUGAAGAGUAUGACCUUCCCCGCUAGAGGACUGUUCUUCAGUCAAGGGUAUACAAGUAGCUGCGCUCCCCUACUAGAACCUCCAAACAAGCUCUCAAGAAGAGUAAAUGUGAUGAAAGGUGUGGCAGGAAAACAUUUGUCAGGGGAGCAACAAUAAAAUUAUUAAGCCCAACUCAGGAGCUAAGCCAAUAAAGAGAGAGCCUUACAACCAGUCGCCUUGUCUUU